GCAAGGAGAGCUACAUGUCUUCGGCUGACAGGUGCUCAGGAAUUGGAUCAUAUAAUCUUCCACAUUUGACUGAACAAACCGCAAGGCUGACAGAAAAUGAGCAUUUCGGAUUUGCACAGGGUCACCAGGAAUUGAUUCCAGCUGCCUUAACAUAUGCGAGCCAUUAAUCUUCAGAACUGCUGAGGCCAGCAUAUUAUUACCAGAGCCGCCACAUGCCUUCAAGAGUGCCUAAAGGCCAGUGCAGGAGUUUUCUAGCUCUCGUCCUCCACGUGACAAUGCUGGCUGUGAGAUCAUGCCUUCUAGACUGAUGUCAUUGGCAGACCAGGGAUCACUGGGAUAUUCGAGCAGCUCUGCUUCACAAGCUAAGAGCUGCCAGUGCGAAUCUGACCGACGACAUAUCUUGAAGGAGCUGGCAUUCAUAAAAAAUCAGAAUGAAAACAUCUUGACAAUACUGAACAAACUAAGAUAGAAACAGGAUUUGAGUGUGAAGAGUUUGGGUUCCCCCUGGAGACACCGGAACAGCUGGAAAAUCUGGAAGAAAAGCUUGCAAAAGAUCAAGAUGCCCGCCAUACAUUGAUCAAACGUCUGGCGAACCUUGGAGGAGCAAAUACUGGCCAGGCAGUUAGGGCCCAACUUCGCUACCUCCUAUCCGAUGGGCUGGGAGCAGCUUAGUCUUUUCGGUCAAAAAGCAAAAAGGAGUUUUGCCAGCCUACAUGUAUGGAGCAUCA
RNAcentral lists this long non-coding RNA (728 nucleotides) under Dermacentor andersoni. RNAcentral describes it as "uncharacterized LOC126519285". Lineage: Eukaryota; Metazoa; Arthropoda; Arachnida; Ixodida; Ixodidae. The record is from RNAcentral.